Molecule: transfer RNA, 73 nt
Filed under: Colletotrichum chlorophyti
Lineage: Eukaryota; Fungi; Ascomycota; Sordariomycetes; Glomerellales; Glomerellaceae
Rfam family: tRNA
About the family: Transfer RNA (tRNA) molecules are approximately 80 nucleotides in length. Their secondary structure includes four short double-helical elements and three loops (D, anti-codon, and T loops).
Source: Rfam by way of RNAcentral
GCCUUGCUAGCUCAAUCGGUAGAGCGUGAGACUCUUAAUCUCAAGGUUGCGGGUUCGACCCCCGCGUGANUUC